Molecule: long non-coding RNA, 317 nt
Filed under: Helianthus annuus (common sunflower)
Lineage: Eukaryota; Viridiplantae; Streptophyta; Magnoliopsida; Asterales; Asteraceae
Description: sRNA HanXRQr2_Chr16g0734231
Source: RNAcentral
UUGAAUUUGAUUUUGGCUCUCUAAGUUGAAGUUUAUGCUUCAUACCUGAGAGUAAAUCGGAUCAAGAGCUUGCGGGGACCUUCUUUUAUGGUCAACGCGAAGUGCUACUUGAUUCCUUUGGUUUGCUUGAGGUUGUUUAAAGUUCUAUUGAUUGAGGAUACUUUGCACUACAUGUGUUGUUGCUUGAUGUGAUAUCUAGGAUGCAUGCGUCACAUAGGAUCUGGACAAGGCCUUAGUGACAUAAUAACUAUGAUAGACGAUAUAAAACUUGUUUGUUCUAUGUGUUAAGACAAUGUAAUGUUUAACUUUAUCAAUAA